Molecule: long non-coding RNA, 230 nt
Organism: Pelobates fuscus (common spadefoot toad)
Lineage: Eukaryota; Metazoa; Chordata; Amphibia; Anura; Pelobatidae
Exons: 3
Source: RefSeq, a predicted model, not a curated record
GUUCGGUCUUCUCAUCACCAGUAGUUGUCUUGGGAUUCAUGGAAGGCCUUUGAAUAAACGUCCUGCCAUUCUGAAUCCUGAAAGCUGUACGAUCUUUACAAAGGAAGGCGGAAAUUUUACGAUAAACUGCACCGCACAGAGCACGUGGCGUGACUUUAAUCUGGUUUACUGGCUGGCUAAUAACAACUUCAUCGAGAACGAAUUCCCUGAUGGGAGGGUGUCCGAGGGGC